This 301-nucleotide ribosomal RNA is filed under the name uncultured bacterium. RNAcentral describes it as "partial 16S ribosomal RNA". It matches the Rfam family "Bacterial small subunit ribosomal RNA", at positions 509 to 808 of the family's 1533-position model. The record is from RNAcentral.
CAGUAGCCGCGGUAAUACGUAGGGGGCAAGCGUUAUCCGGAAUUAUUGGGCGUAAAGAGUGCGUAGGUGGUCUACUAAGCGCGAGGUGAAAGGCAAUGGCUCAACCAUUGUUAGCCUUGCGAACUGGCAGACUUGAGUGCAAGAGAGGAAAGCGGAAUUCCUAGUGUAGCGGUGAAAUGCGCAGAUAUUAGGAGGAACACCGGCGGCGAAGGCGGCUUUCUGGAUUGUAACUGACACUGAGGCACGAAAGCGUGGGUAGCAAACAGGAUUAGAUACCCGUGUAGUCCCUGUCUCUUAUACA